This 355-nucleotide ribosomal RNA is filed under the name uncultured bacterium. RNAcentral's name for it is "partial 16S ribosomal RNA". It matches the Rfam family "Bacterial small subunit ribosomal RNA", at positions 338 to 710 of the family's 1533-position model. The record is from RNAcentral.
CCUACGGGAGGCAGCAGUGGGGGAUAUUGCACAAUGGGGGAAACCCUGAUGCAGCGACGCCGCGUGAGUGAAGAAGGCUUUCGGUAUGUAAAGCUCUAUCAGCAGGGAAGAAAAUGACAGUACCUGACCAAGAAGCCACGUCUAACCACGUGCCAGCAGCCGCGGUAAUACGUAGGGGGCAAGCGUUAUCCGGAUUUACUGGGUGUAAAGGGAGCGUAGACGGUUAUGUAAGUCUGGAGUCAAAGUCCGGGGCCCAACCCGGGGACUGCUGUGGAAACUGUGUAACUGGAGUACAGGAGGGGCAGGCGGAAUUCGUGGUGUAGCGGUGAAAUGCGUAGAUAUCAGGAGGAACACC